This 72-nucleotide transfer RNA is filed under the name Solenopsis invicta (red fire ant). RNAcentral's name for it is "tRNA-Gly". Lineage: Eukaryota; Metazoa; Arthropoda; Insecta; Hymenoptera; Formicidae. The record is from RNAcentral.
AUUUAUAUAGUAUAAAUCUAUUACAUUUAACUUCCAAUUAAAAUAUUUAAAUAUUCAUAUUUAAUAUAAAUA